AAGUCUUCCUUCUUCAUGGAAAUUAGCUGAUGUUAUUCCAGUACCAAAACAAAGCCCCGUCGAAGAUGUCAAUAACCACCUUAGACCCAUCUCCCUGACACCGGCUAUUUCUAAAGUUGCAGAGGAGUUUGCUGUGAAAUUGUACGUUGCGCCAGCUGUUCUCGAGAUCAUCGACCCUAGCCAGUUUGGAGCCAUACCGAAGUCCUCGACAGUACACGCCCUUAUCUCUAUGAUCCAUCAUUGGGCCCAAGCAACGGACAGUACAGGAGCCGCAGUUAGAGUGGUCUUAUUUGACUACAAAAAAGCGUUUGACCUAAUUGACCACCAAAUUCUGGUACAAAAGAUCCUUAGCCUAAAUAUUCCCCGGAGCAUCGCGCGCUGGGUAGCUGAUUUCUUAACGAACCGUAAACAACGUGUCAAACUUUCACAUGACUGCUUUUCCGAAUGGGGAG
Molecule: non-coding RNA, 452 nt
Organism: Paramuricea clavata
Lineage: Eukaryota; Metazoa; Cnidaria; Anthozoa; Malacalcyonacea; Plexauridae
Source: the annotation of a GenBank genome assembly